Long non-coding RNA from Stegodyphus dumicola, 542 nucleotides. RefSeq lists it as uncharacterized. Lineage: Eukaryota; Metazoa; Arthropoda; Arachnida; Araneae; Eresidae. The record is from RefSeq and is a predicted model, not a curated record.
AAUCCGUCAUAACAGUUGACUGUAGUCACGUGGUCUGACUUUCCCAAUGACGUAUCUGCCGAGAUUUGACUUAAAUACUUUCUCUUUUAAAUUCAUUCAGUAGAUUUCUUCUCAUCUCGCCUUUUGUAUUGUUUUCUGCACGUACAUAACAGGUGUAUCAGAGAUGUUCUGUUAUAAGGCAACGACAGUUAUGUUUGUAGUAUUAACUGCAUCCCUAUUACUACAAAGUAACACAGAUGCUCUGUGCUUUCAGAGCUGGUGCGAGUACUACCCAGGUCUUCAAAGCUUCUGCUGUGACAUGUUGUCUAUCCAGGACUGUUGCAACACUUCUGAAAAACAGACUGAUGAUACAAACUGCAUAAAGGUGCAGUCGUCGUAGCCGCUGAAUAGAACAGAUAUGGAAGAAACAGUAUUUUCUAAAGCACGUGCAUUUAUAUUUAUGGACUAAAUAUUUUUUAUGUAAAAACUAAACUCUUCUUUUGCUCAUGAACUGUAAUUGAUUCAUUUCUUUUUUUAAUAAAUACUCAUUAAUAAAUGUUUCA